This is a long non-coding RNA of Girardinichthys multiradiatus, 479 nucleotides long. RefSeq lists it as uncharacterized. The transcript is spliced from 4 exons. The record is from RefSeq and is a predicted model, not a curated record. Lineage: Eukaryota; Metazoa; Chordata; Actinopteri; Cyprinodontiformes; Goodeidae.
AGUUCUCUUGCGUGUCAUGAACCAGCUCUUAAUUGAGUUUCUGUUCCUGCUUUACAGAUCUGAUGACCGUGUCCUGGAUCCCAUGCUCUUGUGUGUUUUGCUCAGGUGAGCUCCUUGGAACUACUCCCCAUUGCUCUUGCCCACCACUCACGCAGCUGAAGCGCUCCUACUCAAGAGUAUCACACAGAGACAGACAGUACUGAGAACCUCCGUGCUACUCCUCUUAACUUUGUCUUUGUGGGAAAACUUGCCUCUUCCAACAAGCCAUCAUCACUGCCAACAAAACCGGUUAUCAGUAUGCAUUUGGCCAAGGCUGCUGUGGAAGUCAUGCUCGUUGAGGAUUUUAUGGUCAGAAGAAACCUGGAGGAUUUCUCCAACAUGGGUGGUCCUCUGGGUAAUGAAACAGUUCCUUCAAGGCCUUUAGCGAGUGGCGACUUCACAUCUCUACAAGACUACUGAUAAAGAUAAAAUAAGCUUAA